RNA transcript from Musa acuminata AAA Group (dessert banana), 1119 nucleotides. RefSeq lists it as uncharacterized. The transcript has 3 exons. The record is from RefSeq and is a predicted model, not a curated record. NCBI's taxonomy places the organism in Eukaryota, Viridiplantae, Streptophyta, Magnoliopsida, Zingiberales, Musaceae.
GACAAAAGUGCAUAACCGCACUUCCCGUCGCCACACCCUUUCCUACUCAUUUCGGUCGACGUGUGUGCAUCGUCGCCACGCCAUUCCCUGUUCGAAGACCCUCUGUUCUCUUCUCCUCCAUCUCGGCGCCCUAAUCGCAUUUGGAGAUGGCGGGGCACAGGUCGAGUUUGCCCUUGCGGCUGCAGCAGAUUCUCUCCGGCGGGAGGGCCAUGUGGCCGGAGCUUAAAUUGGAGCAUGAUGCUAAGGACCUGUUAUAUUGGCAGAAAAAUUUCAAUUGUUUAAACUUUCUAUCAUUUGGGAAAGUGAUAUCCAAUAUGUGAAUCUAAGAGAAAGAAAGAAUUGCAACAUUGGGAAAUUUGUGGACUUCUGUAGGGAGAACAGUUUCAGAGAAACUAGAGGAGUAAGAACAGUUCUCAGUUUUUCUAUUUCAUUUGAUGUAGUAGGUUUCGACGUAGUAAGAAACCUGUGGAGUAAGAAUAGUUCUCAGUUUUUCUUUUAUGUUUGAUGUUGCUAAGAUCUGGGAUUGGCUAUAUGCAGCAAAGAAAUUGUAUACUGUUAUAUCAGAUGUAGUAGGUUUCAAGUUUGGUAGUAAAUGAAUGCAAUUGCCAUCACAUUGGGGGUAUCUGUGGAUUGAAUCACAUGUUUCAAUAUUCUCUGUUUUCUCCAAAAUUGUUGCAUGAGGCAUAGAUGAGAUAAUAAUUAUUAACAAAUUGUAAAUCAAGUGUUAUGGAGCAUUGAAGACCAGGCAGAAGACAUUGUUGUAUGUCAUGUUCAAAUGAUACAGUAAUUUUCCUUUUUCUUUGUUAUAGUUUGCAGUUAUUAUAAUGUAUAAAAUUAUAUGUGGUUCAUAAUGAUUCAUGUAGUAUAGGCUUAUGAAAUAGAAACAGUAAAAUUCCCUUAUCUUCAUCAUCAUUAUCAUCACCAACAUCAACAUCUCAACUAUGUGAACACAGAAUGCUCUUCUUUUGCUUCUUCCUACUAGUAAUGACAAAAUUGAUUUUUUUUUCCAAACAAGUGAAAUUUAUUUUAAUUCCAGAUGAAUUUUUUGCUCUUUAAAAUGCAUCACUAUUUGGAAAUAUAAAGAAAAAUUAAGUUUUUGUCCUCAAAAUAUUUAUUCAU